GGAUUAGAUACCCUGGUAGUCCACGCCCUAAACGAUGAAUACUCGACCUUAGCGAUAUACAGUUAGGGUCCAAGCGAAAGCGUUAAGUAUUCCACCUGGGAAGUACGUUCGCAAGAAUGAAACUCAAAGGAAUUGACGGGGGCCCGCACAAGCGGAGGAGCAUGUGGUUUAAUUCGAUGAUACGCGAGGAACCUUACCUGGGCUUGAAUGUGAGUGACCGGUGCCGAAAGGUACUUUCCCUUCGGGGCACAAAACAAGGUGCUGCAUGGCUGUCGUCAGCUCGUGCCG
Molecule: ribosomal RNA, 288 nt
Filed under: uncultured bacterium
Lineage: Bacteria
Description: partial 16S ribosomal RNA
Rfam family: Bacterial small subunit ribosomal RNA
Source: RNAcentral